This 1455-nucleotide ribosomal RNA is filed under the name Triticum aestivum (bread wheat). Its description in RNAcentral is "partial small subunit ribosomal RNA". Lineage: Eukaryota; Viridiplantae; Streptophyta; Magnoliopsida; Poales; Poaceae. The record is from RNAcentral.
AUGUGUUCCCCCUCUCCGCUGGCCGAAGGCCGCUCGUGCUCGGACCGUUGCCUCGAGUCGAGCCCCUCCUCUACCGGUACCGCAGAGCCCCGGCCGUCCUCCUACCUCCAGGAGCUCUGCAGCGCCCCGCCCCUACCCGCGGGGGCCAGCCCGCGCCCCUCGCUGCUGGCUGUGCGCCCUCCCCUGCGCUCCGAGAUCUGCCGGAUGUCCGUGGACGGUGCCCACGACGACUGGCUCCUCGCCCAUAGGCGGAAGCGCCACUGCUCCUCCCGGUCGCGGCGUCCUCAUCGCGGGCCUGGUGAUGCCCCUCGCCAGCCACCGUCGUGGCUCCGGGAGGGUGAGUGCCCGAGGUGCCUCAGCCCCGGCCACCCGCGCUUGGAGUGUCGCAGGGACAUCCGUUGCGGUCGCUGUCGUUUCUUCGGGCACAAGGCCCGCGACUGCCCCCUGCGCUCCGCCACCGCCUCCUCCUCCACCCAGGGCGACUCCCCCCCUCCGCUGUGUCGCCGUGGUUCUGCCUCUGGCUCGAGCCCGGAGGAAUCUGCUUCGCCUCCUGCGCGUCCCACCUCCUCUGGCUCGUUCGGCCACCCCACGUCCUCUAGGUCGGCCAGCGUUGGGCCGUCGCGCUCCGACGGUUCUGUGCCCGCGUCUUCCAGGCCACGUACCGCCUUUGCAUCGCCGACCGGCUCUACCUCUGUGGCGGCCACCUCGCUGUCGGGUCACCCUGCGCGUCACCCCGCCGGUGCCAUCUGCUACCUACCUCGGUCCGCGGAGCUGGUGGCUGCGGAGCUGGAUCUCGAGCGGGCGCUGCUCACCUCGGUGGCCGGCUGCCGCCUUGGCAUCACCCGCGAGGUUGUCUUCGACGCUCUCCGCACACGCUAUGGCCUGACCGCGCACGAGUUCUCCGUCCACAUCCACGCCUAUGAUGGUUUCCUCAUCAAGUUCUCCUCCGCCGCUUCGCGCGCACGUGUCACCGCUGGUGGUCUACGCACCGGUGGCUUUCGACUGCUCUUCACUCCUUGGAGCCGCUCCCGUGACGCUAUCCCGGUGAAGGCGCGCUUCCUCGUCUCCAUCAAGAUCAUGGGCACCCCUGAUCAUGUUUGGCACCAGUCCUCUGCUGAGUUCCUCCUGCCGUCGUUCUGCCGGGUCAAGAACCUCGCCCCGGAGACCAAGGACGCGUCUGACAUGUCGGUCUUUCACCUCACAGCCUGGACCAUCAAUCCCGACGGCAUCCCGCGCUUGUCGGAGCUGCUCGUACCGGAGCCUGAUGCUGUGGCCGACAAGGCGGACCCGACGUGGGCGGAGCGCCUCGCGCUUGGACUGAUGCGGUUCCCCGUCGAGAUCCAUGCCGUUAGCUCCGUCGACUACAGCCGCCCCGCGCCCCCACUGAGGGAGUCCUGGAAUGGGGUGUCCUCGGACAACCGGACUAUAUGCUUUGGCCGGACUGUUGGACUAUGA